CGAACGGGUGAGUAAUACAUCGGAACGUGCCCAGUAGUGGGGGAUAGCCCGGCGAAAGCCGGAUUAAUACCGCAUACGACCUGAGGGUGAAAGCGGGGGAUCGCAAGACCUCGCGCUACUGGAGCGGCCGAUAUCAGAUUAGCUAGUUGGUGGGGUAAAGGCCUACCAAGGCAACGAUCUGUAGUUGGUCUGAGAGGACGACCAGCCACACUGGGACUGAGACACGGCCCAG
This 232-nucleotide ribosomal RNA is filed under the name uncultured bacterium. RNAcentral describes it as "partial 16S ribosomal RNA". It matches the Rfam family "Bacterial small subunit ribosomal RNA", at positions 99 to 334 of the family's 1533-position model. The record is from RNAcentral.